This 460-nucleotide ribosomal RNA is filed under the name uncultured bacterium. Its description in RNAcentral is "partial 16S ribosomal RNA". It matches the Rfam family "Bacterial small subunit ribosomal RNA", at positions 338 to 795 of the family's 1533-position model. The record is from RNAcentral.
CCUACGGGUGGCAGCAGUGAGGAAUAUUGGUCAAUGGACGAGAGUCUGAACCAGCCAAGUAGCGUGAAGGAUGACUGCCCUAUGGGUUGUAAACUUCUUUUAUAUGGGAAUAAAAUGGUCCACGUGUGGGAUUUUGUAUGUACCGUAUGAAUAAGGAUCGGCUAACUCCGUGCCAGCAGCCGCGGUAAUACGGAUGAUCCGAGCGUUAGUCGGGUUUAGUUGGUUUAAAGGGAGCGUAGGGUGAUUGUUAAGGCAGUGGUGAAAGUUUACGGCUCAAACGUAAAAUGGCAUGUGAAACUGGCAGUCUUGAGUACAGUAGAGGUGGGCGGAAUUCGUGGUGUAGCGGUGAAAUGCUUAGAUAUCACGAAGAACGCCGAUUGCGAAUGCAGCUCACUGGACUGCAACUGACACUGAGGCUCGAAAGUGUGGGUAUCAAACAGGAUUAGAUACCCUUGUAGUC